ACGUAGGGUGCAAGCGUUAUCCGGAAUCAUUGGGUUUAAAGGGUCCGUAGGCGGCUUAAUAAGUCAGUGGUGAAAGCCCUACGCUUAACGUAGGAACGGCCAUUGAUACUGUUAGGCUUGAAUUAUUAGGAAGUAACUAGAAUAUGUAGUGUAGCGGUGAAAUGCUUAGAGAUUACAUGGGAUACCAAUUGCGAAGGCAGGUUACUACUAAUGGAUUGACGCUGAUGGACGAAAGCGUGGGUAGCGAACAGGAUUAGAUACCCUGGUAGUCCACGCCGUAAACGAUGGAUACUAGCUGUUGGAAGCAAUUUCAGUGGCUAAGCGAAAGUGAUAAGUAUCCCACCUGGGGAGUACGUUCGCAAGAAU
This 366-nucleotide ribosomal RNA is filed under the name uncultured bacterium. Its description in RNAcentral is "bacterial SSU rRNA". It matches the Rfam family "Bacterial small subunit ribosomal RNA", at positions 525 to 895 of the family's 1533-position model. The record is from RNAcentral.